GACGAACCGAGCGAACGUUGUUCGGAAUCACUGGGCUUAAAGGGCGCGUAGGCGGGCGGCAUAGUCUGUCGUGAAAUCCCCCAGCUCAACUGGGGAACUGCGAUGGAUACUGGCCGUCUCGAGGCAGGUAGGGGCGUGUGGAACUAUCGGUGGAGCGGUGAAAUGCGUUGAUAUCGAUAGGAACUCCGGUGGCGAAGGCGACACGCUGGACCUGAACUGACGCUGAGGCGCGAAAGCCAGGGGAGCAAACGGG
Molecule: ribosomal RNA, 253 nt
Filed under: uncultured bacterium
Lineage: Bacteria
Description: partial 16S ribosomal RNA
Rfam family: Bacterial small subunit ribosomal RNA
Source: RNAcentral